CCCCGGGCUCANCCUGGGAACUGCGUUCUGAACUGGGUGACUAGAGUGUGUCAGAGGGAGGUAGAAUUCCACGUGUAGCAGUGAAAUGCGUAGAGAUGUGGAGGAAUACCGAUGGCGAAGGCAGCCUCCUGGGAUAACACUGACGUUCAUGCCCGAAAGCGUGGGUAGCAAACAGGAUUAGAUACCCUGGUAGUCCACGCCCUAAACGAUGUCGAUUAGCUGUUGGGCAGCAUGACUGCUUAGUAGCGAAGCUAACGCGUGAAAUCGACCGCCUGGGGAGUACGGUCGCAAGAUUAAAACUCAAAGGAAUUGACGGGGACCCGCACAAGCGGUGGAUGAUGUGGAUAAAUUCGAUGCAACGCGAAGAACCUUACCUGGUCUUGACAUGUACGGAAUCCUCCAGAGAUGGAGGAGUGCCUUCGGGAGCCGUAACACAGGUGCUGCAUGGCUGUCGUCAGCUCGUGUCUUGAGAUGUUGGGUUAAGUCCCGCAACGAGCGCAACCCUUGUCAUUAGUUGCCAUCAUUAAGUUGGGCACUCUAAUGAGACUGCCGGUGACAAGCCGGAGGAAGGUGGGGAUGACGUCAAGUCCUCAUGGCCCUUAUGACCAGGGCUUCACACGUCAUACAAUGGUCGGUACAGAGGGUAGCCAAGCCGCGAGGCGGAGCCAAUCUCACAAAACCGAUCGUAGUCCGGAUUGCACUCUGCAACUCGAGUGCAUGAAGUCGGAAUCGCUAGUAAUCGCAGGUCAGCAUACUGCGGUGAAUACGUUCCCGGGUCUUGUAC
This 784-nucleotide ribosomal RNA is filed under the name uncultured bacterium. RNAcentral describes it as "bacterial SSU rRNA". It matches the Rfam family "Bacterial small subunit ribosomal RNA", at positions 601 to 1386 of the family's 1533-position model. The record is from RNAcentral.